This 1502-nucleotide long non-coding RNA is filed under the name Medicago truncatula (barrel medic). Its description in RNAcentral is "lncRNA gene39313". Lineage: Eukaryota; Viridiplantae; Streptophyta; Magnoliopsida; Fabales; Fabaceae. The record is from RNAcentral.
CUGUUUUCUUUUUUGUUGAGUUGGCAUCUUUUUAAUAUUAAUUUUUACAAGUGGAGGGUGUAAAAGAGAGGGAUGGCACAUGAGGUUGUUCACGUAUCACUUCUGUAUAAAAAACUGUAAAGUACAAAAUUACUGCAAAACCUACAUUACAUCACUUUAACACAAAAUUUUUCCCUGACUUAUACAUCGAACAUAUCAUGGUGGUAACAUAACCUAAGUAAAAAUAAAUACCCACAAGAAUACAAUAAACCAUUACAAUACAGCAAACUAAACAUAAAAUCCAAAUAAAAGGACAGCAAAGCACCAAUGAAGCUGACAAAGGAGAGACAACACUAGAAGGUGAAAGUCAUAUAAUUAAGCCUCAGACUAGCAUCAAACUCCUUCUAAAAAUGAGCAACCUGCAAAAUUGAUAUUAGGCAGGAAAGUCAGCUCACAUACAAACAACAAUCAAGUGGAUCUUUUAAACAAAACCACUAGAAAAGCUAGUAAAACAAAACACUUAAAUAAACACAACCAUAUUUAAGACAAAUAUGAACAACCAAAUUUAACAUGUAUUAAAUCAAGUUGCUUGGGCUCCAGUGGCAAGGAACUCCUUCCAAGGACGUAUUCGGGGAAUAUCGGAUUCGAUUCUCUGGGGAACAACACUUAACCAGUGCACAUGACUCUACACACGAGCUAGAUUAGUCUUUGAUGGAUCGGAAACCAGUGCAAAAGAAAAAAAAAAUUAACAUGUAUUACUUCAUUAUUUUCUACAAGCAAAUCACUGAAAAAUUUUGUUGUGACUUAAGGCCUACUUAAAAUAAAUGUUUUUUUAUAACUAUAUAUCUUAGGCAUACAAAAGAGAAAAAUUAUACAGUACACUAAUUAUAACUUUUUCACAUUUUAUUACUUUCAAGUUGUUACUCUCUAAAUAAAUCAUAAAUAGCGUUGUUUAAGCAUACAAUACAUACAGAGGAAACUUAUUAAAAAAAAAUACAUAUAGAGGAAAAAAUAUCGUUAAUAAAUUAGUUAAUUUUUUUCAUGAUGCAUUAGAGAACUAGGAAUGAUCUGAAUGUUAAUUAGUCAAGGAUUUAUGAUACAAUUGACUCUGAUGAUUUUUUAAUUGUAUGCUUUAGACAUAAUAGAUAAAUAAAUUUUACCUUAUUCGCGAACUCUAUAACAAGACCCUCUAAUGCACUUCAUUUUUUUUUCCGCCGGCAAUCGAUAUUUUUUAUAACAAUCAAGUUCAGUGACACACUCUGUUGUAAGCCCUUAAAAAGAAAACAUACUUCAUUGUAAUGUAAAAUAAGAAUAAAUAAAUAAAUACUAAUAAUAAGGAGUGUGUAAUUUUAUAUGUGAUGAAGAAAAAAAUUAGAAUGAACUCACCCCAACUCCAACUGUCAACUACAACAAUAAACAUGAAAACAAGAAGGAUCAUUGCAUAAAUAAAAUUGUGAAUUUCAACCAUUUUUUCCCUUCACAUUUUCAUAUAAUGAAUACAAAUUUGUUUGGUUACUUUAUAU